CCAAACAGCCAAGAAGUACCGAGGGGGAGAUUUCUUCUCGUAAAUAAAAGAGGCGGCGAUUGCAAACAAGUCUCCGGCUGGAGAAAGCAGGCCGGGGAGCCGGCUCCCCUCCCCCUCUCGCCACCAACACCCCUCCCCCCGUUUUUUUGGUUAUCUCCCUGGCCCGGCGUCCCACCACUGACUCAGAGAGAGGGGGUGGAAGGAGGAGGAGAAAGAACUCGCGGGGGCUCUGGCGCCUGGGCAGAAGGAGGCAGGAGGAGAGCGGGGAGGCGAGAGCGCACGGCGGUGGAGAGCCCCUCGAUCAAUUUUCAUGCAAGAAUCAUUAUCGCUGCGGGAGCCAGGAGUUCGCCCUCCGCCAGGACCCGGGAGGAGAAUCCCUAAACCGUGACCCGGGGACUCGGGGCCGCCUUUUGUGGAACCCACGCGGGGCUGCGGCAACGCACACGCCGGCCUGCCCUGGUGAGCUCUCGGGCGAGCGGUUUCCCUCCUUUCUUUUCCUCUCACCCCUUACCCCGCACCCCACCCCUUAAAAAUCCCUGUUGCAAGUGUAAUCAAAUGCUGGAUAGCAUCUCCCACACUCUCCCUGCACUGGUGCAUUAUCAGAUCCGGGAAGGCAUGCUUCCAGGCAAAUAGACCUAAUAAAUGCUAUUACUGGGAUUCUGCAAGCCCCGGCUGCACCAUAGUAACGAGAGCCCCGGCUAAUUUGGUUUAAGAAAACGAUCAACUGCACAGAGACUGAGUGUGGAGCCUGUAUCUCUCCUCCCCACGCCGCCUCCCUUUCACACCAGCUCAAGAAGGCCCCAUGUGAUAAUUCCCCAAAUCGAAGGGGAAAAAACCCUGCCGCCAAACCACAUCCUGUGCGCUUAUUGUCCAGCCCAGCGAUUUUAAAGAGACAGGAUCCAUUUACCCACGUCCCCCCACCCCCCUUAAACGCACGCUGCAAAGCUGCCGCUUGAUGUGACAAUUUAUUUUCAAGCCCUUUUACCUCCUGAGGGGCCCCUCAGUGGCACAACUAGCCGGAAUCACGACUUGGUGACACUAAGGGGUCACCUUUUGACCCCAGAUACAAUCAUGGUUUGAGGAGCAGACCUGAGCCCGCAGGUACGCAUGGCGGGGCACCGCGGUCACGCCAGGCUUGGGUUCCUGCCAACGCUCUCCAACCACUGCGUAAAUCAGGGGUCCCCAGCGGCAGCCCCGGGGUCCCUGCUAAAUGCAGCGGCUUCAAAUGACAGUUGAACUCCCGGAAUACGAUACCCUAGAGAAAAGCUCCGGAGGGCAAAUUGGAGGAGCUUGGGAGAGUGGGGGGAGCGGCGUGCCUUUUGACCUCUCCAAGCCACUUGCCAAACCCUCGCCUACCCCGCCAGAAAAAUUCUUAAAUGAGCUGGGCGGAGCGCUCGGAGCCAAGGGAGGGGUGGCGCUCCUCUCCACCGCCGCCAGCGGCUCGGUGACUGCGGCGUGCUGGCGGACGCCUUCCGCCGGGGCCCGGCCGCCUGGGGUGCGAGGAGCGUCUUUGAGUCCCCCAGCUCGCUGCUGCGCCCCGCCUGGCGCCCCCUCCCCACAGGCGGCCGAACGCACGCGGGCGCAGAGGAGGGCGCCAGAGCUGCUGACCUGGAGGAAACCGGCCGCUCGGGGCCGCCCGCGCCCGCCGCCAGCCUCUGGCUGCUCCGCCCCGCGCUGACCCUGGAGGUCGCGCCAGGCCCUCGGCGCCGGCGGCCCUUUGUUUCCGGAGCUGCGUGGCGGCGCGCUCUCUGCGCCUCCCCUUGCACCCGCCGCCGGCGGCGGCCUGGCAAACGGGGCGGUGGGGUUGGGGUCCAGCACCUGCCCUCCCUGCCCCCACCCUGCGCGCCCCGCCGGGCCUCUGCUCCAGCCCCCGCUUCCCCCUCCCACCCAUUUAUCACACAUUUAUCACCCGUGAGCUGCACAAUCUGCGCCCCUGGGGGGCAGGGGGUGAGGGGCGGCCAGGACGCGGGUUAGACCAACCGGGUGAGCUACCGCCCACCCGCUAACCCCUCACAAAUUGGAAAAAUCUCCCAUCUUUCUUAGGGGAAAAAAAACCAAACUAUUUUUAAAAGACCCUAAACUAUCA
Long non-coding RNA from Rhinopithecus roxellana (golden snub-nosed monkey), 2086 nucleotides. RefSeq lists it as uncharacterized. The transcript has 2 exons. The record is from RefSeq and is a predicted model, not a curated record. Lineage: Eukaryota; Metazoa; Chordata; Mammalia; Primates; Cercopithecidae.